This 270-nucleotide ribosomal RNA is filed under the name Triticum aestivum (bread wheat). RNAcentral describes it as "partial small subunit ribosomal RNA". Lineage: Eukaryota; Viridiplantae; Streptophyta; Magnoliopsida; Poales; Poaceae. The record is from RNAcentral.
AUGGGUGGUGAUAUAGCAGGAUGGUCGGCAAGGCAAAUAAAUGCCAGUUACGACGAACGAGACCAAAUAUCAAUCUUCACCGUCCUCGAUGGAAUUCAGACAUCUACAUUUUAUUACUUAUUAGCAUAAAAUAUGAAGUCAACAAAGUACAUAGAAAUAAAAUAAAUUAGGGAUUUCAUAAGGCUCAGACAUCCAAGGAAGGAAUUAGCAGCACUAGCUCUCAAGCCUGGCAGGGCGAAAGCUCUUAGGCGGCAACUGCGAAUGUUUUGA